CUCUGGAAGAAGAUCGUGAUAAAGAAUUACUUGAAAACUGAUCUAACCAAUUCAAAGUCCUACUCAGGAACUUUAAGAGACUACAAAGACUGAACAAAAUGAUUUUAAGGAUUACUAUAGUGGUUCGAAUAGGAUCCAGAGUCACCAGAAGACAAACCCGAGUAUGCCUGAUUCUAGACUGGAUUCAGGAAGUGAGAAGACCCACCCUGAAUAUGGGCUGCAUCACAUCAUGGGCUCAGGUCCCAAGCUGAAUAAAGGAGGAAGAGAAAGUGAGCUAAGCACCCCCACUCAUUUCUCUCUCUGGGGACUGGAUGGGAGGUGACCAAACAGCCUCCUGUUCCCGCUGUCAUCUUCCCAUGAUGGACUACAGGCUCCAAAGUCAGCCAAAAUAAACUUUCCCUCCUUUAUGAUA
Molecule: long non-coding RNA, 412 nt
Organism: Peromyscus eremicus (cactus mouse)
Lineage: Eukaryota; Metazoa; Chordata; Mammalia; Rodentia; Cricetidae
Exons: 2
Source: RefSeq, a predicted model, not a curated record